UACGUAGGUGACAAGCGUUGUCCGGAUUUACUGGGCGUAAAGAGCGCGCAGGCGGUCGAUCAAGUCGAGUGUGAAAGCCCUCGGCUCAACUGGGGAGGGUCAUUCGAUACUGAUCGACUCGAAGGCAGGAGAGGGUAGUGGAAUUCCCGGUGUAGUGGUGAAAUGCGUAGAUAUCGGGAGGAACACCUAUGGCGAAGGCAGCUCGCUGGGACGUUACUGACGCUGAGACGCGAAAGCGUGGGGAGCAAACAGG
RNAcentral lists this ribosomal RNA (253 nucleotides) under uncultured bacterium. RNAcentral describes it as "partial 16S ribosomal RNA". It matches the Rfam family "Bacterial small subunit ribosomal RNA", at positions 524 to 776 of the family's 1533-position model. The record is from RNAcentral.